AGUCGCCACGGUAAUACGAAGGGUGCAAGCGUUACUCGGAAUUACUGGGCGUAAAGCGUGCGUAGGUGGUGGUUUAAGUCCGUUGUGAAAGCCCUGGGCUCAACCUGGGAAUUGCAGUGGAUACUGGGUCACUAGAGUGUGGUAGAGGAUAGUGGAAUUUCCGGUGUAGCAGUGAAAUGCGUAGAGAUCGGAAGGAACAUCUGUGGCGAAGGCGACUAUCUGGGCCAACACUGACACUGAGGCACGAAAGCGUGGGGAGCAAACAGGAUUAGAUACCCCCGUAGUCCCUGUCUCUUAUACA
This 301-nucleotide ribosomal RNA is filed under the name uncultured bacterium. RNAcentral's name for it is "partial 16S ribosomal RNA". It matches the Rfam family "Bacterial small subunit ribosomal RNA", at positions 510 to 808 of the family's 1533-position model. The record is from RNAcentral.